Molecule: microRNA precursor, 59 nt
Filed under: Pteropus alecto (black flying fox)
Lineage: Eukaryota; Metazoa; Chordata; Mammalia; Chiroptera; Pteropodidae
Description: microRNA pal-mir-9988 precursor
Source: miRBase by way of RNAcentral
UGCUAGGGCUAGAGAGCGAGUGCAGAUACAGAUGAAGCUUCGCUCCCUUGCCCUUUGCU